GACAGAGGGUGCAAACGUUGUUCGGAAUUACUGGGCGUAAAGCGCGUGUAGGCGGCUGCGCAAGUCGGAUGUGAAAUCCCGUGGCUCAACCACGGAAGUGCACCCGAAACUGCGUAGCUCGAGUCUCGGAGAGGAAGGUGGAAUGCUUGGUGUAGAGGUGAAAUUCGUAGAUAUCAAGCGGAACACCGGUGGCGAAGGCGGCCUUCUGGACGAUGACUGACGCUGAGACGCGAAAGCGUGGGGAGCAAACAGG
Molecule: ribosomal RNA, 253 nt
Filed under: uncultured bacterium
Lineage: Bacteria
Also listed under: 1 other name
Description: partial 16S ribosomal RNA
Rfam family: Bacterial small subunit ribosomal RNA
Source: RNAcentral